UCGGGGUACUCGAGCGGCGAACGGGUGAGUAACACGUGAGUAACCUGCCCUAGGCUUUGGGAUAACCCUCGGAAACGGGGGCUAAUACCGGAUAUGACUUCCUGUCGCAUGGUGGGGAGUGGAAAGUUUUUCGGCCUGGGAUGGACUCGCGGCCUAUCAGCUUGUUGGUGGGGUAAUGGCCUACCAAGGCGACGACGGGUAGCCGGCCUGAGAGGGCGACCGGCCACACUGGGACUGAGACACGGCCCAGACUCCUACGGGAGGCAGCAGUGGGGAAUAUUGCACAAUGGGCGAAAGCCUGAUGCAGCGACGCCGCGUGAGGGAUGACGGCCUUCGGGUUGUAAACCUCUUUCAGCAGGGACGAAGCGUAAGUGACGGUACCUGCAGAAGAAGCGCCGGCCAACUACGUGCCAGCAGCCGCGGUAAGACGUAGGGCGCGAGCGUUGUCCGGAUUUAUUGGGCGUAAAGAGCUCGUAGGCGGCUUGUCGCGUCGACUGUGAAAACCCGCAGCUCAACUGCGGGCCUGCAGUCGAUACGGGCAGGCUAGAGUUCGGUAGGGGAGACUGGAAUUCCUGGUGUAGCGGUGGAAUGCGCAGAUAUC
This 601-nucleotide ribosomal RNA is filed under the name Micromonospora sp. YIM M11293. RNAcentral's name for it is "bacterial SSU rRNA". It matches the Rfam family "Bacterial small subunit ribosomal RNA", at positions 82 to 698 of the family's 1533-position model. The record is from RNAcentral. Lineage: Bacteria; Bacillati; Actinomycetota; Actinomycetes; Micromonosporales; Micromonosporaceae.